RNAcentral lists this ribosomal RNA (423 nucleotides) under uncultured bacterium. RNAcentral's name for it is "partial 16S ribosomal RNA". It matches the Rfam family "Bacterial small subunit ribosomal RNA", at positions 359 to 773 of the family's 1533-position model. The record is from RNAcentral.
GAAUAUUGGACAAUGGGGGGAACCCUGAUCCAGCCAUGCCGCGUGUGUGAAGAAGGCCUUUUGGUUGUAUAGCACUCUAAGCGAGGAGGAGGCUACUCCAGUUAAUACAUAGAGAUAGUGGACGUUACUCGCAGAAUAAGCCCCGGCUAACCAUGUGCCAGCAGCCGCGGUAAUACAUAGGGUGCAAGCGUUAAUCGGAUUUACUGGGCGUAAAGCGCGCGUAGGUGGCCAAUUAAGUCAAAUGUGAAAUCCCCGAGCUUCACUUGGGAAUUGCAUUCGAUACUGGUUGGCUAGAGUAUGUGAGAGGAUGGUAGAAUUCCAGGUGUAGCGGUGAAAUGCGUAGAGAUCUGGAGGAAUACCGAUGGCGAAGGCAGCCAUCUGGCCUAAUACUGACACUGAGGUGCGAAAGCAUGGGGAGCAAGC